GCGGCGUGCUUAACACAUGCAAGUCGAACGAAGAGCGAUGGAAGCUUGCUUCUAUCAAUCUUAGUGGCGAACGGGUGAGUAACGCGUAAUCAACCUGCCCUUCAGAGGGGGAUAACAGUUGGAAACGACUGCUAAUACCGCAUACGAUCUAACCUCGGCAUCGAGGAUAGAUGAAAGGUGGCCUCUAUUUAUAAGCUAUCACUGAAGGAGGGGAUUGCGUCUGAUUAGCUAGUUGGAGGGGUAACGGCCCACCAAGGCGAUGAUCAGUAGCCGGUUGAGAGGAUGAACAGCCACAUUGGGACUGAGACACGGCCCAGACUCCUACGGGAGGCAGCAGUGGGGAAUCUUCCGCAAUGGACGAAAGUCUGACGGAGCAACGCCGCGUGAGUGAUGACGGCCUUCGGGUUGUAAAGCUCUGUUAAUCGGGACGAAAGGCCUUCUUGCGAAUAGUUAGAAGGAUUGACG
This 465-nucleotide ribosomal RNA is filed under the name Veillonella dispar. RNAcentral describes it as "bacterial SSU rRNA". It matches the Rfam family "Bacterial small subunit ribosomal RNA", at positions 39 to 474 of the family's 1533-position model. The record is from RNAcentral. Lineage: Bacteria; Bacillati; Bacillota; Negativicutes; Veillonellales; Veillonellaceae.